GUUCACUAUAGUUCGAAGCCAACUUUACGGAAACGGCGCCGACUCGUUUCUGUGAGUGCCAUCGAACGUGCAAUCAGCGGACCGUCGAGCGUGCGUAGCAACGACCGGCUCCGGGUUGCAGUAUGACGGGUUGCAGCGCACCAAACUGCGCAAAUAGCACGGAAUGUGGCAAAACUUUUUACGCGGUGCCGUGCGGACGCACGAGACCAGCCGGCUCCGAAAGGGACCAGGAUAUGCGAGGUCCGUUCUCAUUGUUUACAGAGUGGCUUUCAAUUCUGCCCCCCAAGGGUCGAAGAACCAGCACUCAUCCCCUGCUGCCAUCAGCCAUUACUCAUCCAUUCCCUUGUACGAAAUAAAUUUGAUCUAGAA
This is a long non-coding RNA of Dermacentor albipictus, 369 nucleotides long. RefSeq lists it as uncharacterized. NCBI's taxonomy places the organism in Eukaryota, Metazoa, Arthropoda, Arachnida, Ixodida, Ixodidae. The record is from RefSeq and is a predicted model, not a curated record.